CGCUGGCGGCGUGCCUAACACAUGCAAGUCGAACGGAAGCAGAGAUUUCGGUUUCUGCUUUAGUGGCGAACGGGUGAGUAACGCGUGAGAAACCUGCCUUUCAGUGGGGGACAACAGUUGGAAACGACUGCUAAUACCGCAUAACAUAUCGAAGGGGCAUCCUUUUGAUAUCAAAGCUUUAUGUGCUGAAAGAUGGUCUCGCGUCUGAUUAGCUAGUUGGUGAGGUAACGGCUCACCAAGGCGACGAUCAGUAGCCGGUCUGAGAGGAUGAACGGCCACAUUGGGACUGAGAUACGGCCCAGACUCCUACGGGAGGCAGCAGUGGGGAAUAUUGGGCAAUGGGGGAAACCCUGACCCAGCAACGCCGCGUGAAGGAAGAAGGCCUUCGGGUUGUAAACUUCUUUUACCAGGGACGAAGAACGUGACGGUACCUGGAGAAAAAGCAACGGCUAACUACGUG
RNAcentral lists this ribosomal RNA (460 nucleotides) under uncultured bacterium. Its description in RNAcentral is "bacterial SSU rRNA". It matches the Rfam family "Bacterial small subunit ribosomal RNA", at positions 34 to 507 of the family's 1533-position model. The record is from RNAcentral.